GUGGGGAAUAUUGGACAAUGGGGGGAACCCUGAUCCAGCCAUGCCGCGUGUGUGAAGAAGGCCUUUUGGUUGUAAAGCACUUUAAGCGAGGAGGAGGCUACCGAGAUUAAUACUCUUGGAUAGUGGACGUUACUCGCAGAAUAAGCACCGGCUAACUCUGUGCCAGCAGCCGCGGUAAUACAGAGGGUGCAAGCGUUAAUCGGAUUUACUGGGCGUAAAGCGCGCGUAGGUGGCCAAUUAAGUCAAAUGUGAAAUCCCCGAGCUUAACUUGGGAAUUGCAUUCGAUACUGGUGGGCUAGAGUAUGGGAGAGGAUGGUAGAAUUCCAGGUGUAGCGGUGAAAUGCGUAGAGAUCUGGAGGAAUACCGAUGGCGAAGGCAGCCAUCUGGCCUAAUACUGACACUGAGGUGCGAAAGCAUGGGGAGCAAACAGGAUUAGAUACCCCGGUAGUCC
RNAcentral lists this ribosomal RNA (451 nucleotides) under uncultured bacterium. RNAcentral describes it as "partial 16S ribosomal RNA". It matches the Rfam family "Bacterial small subunit ribosomal RNA", at positions 354 to 796 of the family's 1533-position model. The record is from RNAcentral.